UGUAGUCAUAUGGCUUGUCUCAAAGAUUAAGCCAUGCAUGUCUAAGUAUAAGCAAUUAUACCGUGAAACUGCGAAUGGCUCAUUAAAUCAGUUAUCGUUUAUUUGAUAGUACCUUACUACUUGGAUAACCGUGGUAAUUCUAGAGCUAAUACAUGCUGAAAACCCCAACUUCGGGAGGGGUGUAUUUAUUAGAUAAAAAACCAACGCCCUUCGGGGCUUCUUGGUGAUUCAUGAUAACUUUACGGAUCGCAUGGCCUUGCGCCGGCGACGGUUCAUUCAAAUUUCUGCCCUAUCAACUUUCGAUGGUAAGGUAUUGGCUUACCAUGGUUUCAACGGGUAACGGGGAAUUAGGGUUCGAUUCCGGAGAGGGAGCCUGAGAAACGGCUACCACAUCCAAGGAAGGCAGCAGGCGCGCAAAUUACCCAAUCCCGACACGGGGAGGUAGUGACAAUAAAUACUGAUACAGGGCUCUUUUGGGUCUUGUAAUUGGAAUGAGUACAAUUUAAACCUCUAACGAGGAACAAUUGGAGGGCAAGUCUGGUGCCAGCAGCCGCGGUAAUUCCAGCUCCAAUAGCGUAUAUUAAAGUUGUUGCAGUUAAAAAGCUCGUAGUUGAACCUUGGGUCUGGCUGGCAGGUCCGCCUCACCGCGUGUACUUGUCCGGCCGGGC
This 668-nucleotide ribosomal RNA is filed under the name uncultured Phyllachora. Its description in RNAcentral is "SSU rRNA". It matches the Rfam family "Eukaryotic small subunit ribosomal RNA", at positions 19 to 691 of the family's 1831-position model. Lineage: Eukaryota; Fungi; Ascomycota; Sordariomycetes; Phyllachorales; Phyllachoraceae. The record is from RNAcentral.